This 450-nucleotide ribosomal RNA is filed under the name uncultured bacterium. RNAcentral's name for it is "partial 16S ribosomal RNA". It matches the Rfam family "Bacterial small subunit ribosomal RNA", at positions 354 to 796 of the family's 1533-position model. The record is from RNAcentral.
GUGGGGAAUCUUCCGCAAUGGACGAAAGUCUGACGGAGCAACGCCGCGUGAGUGAAGAAGGUUUUCGGAUCGUAAAGCUCUUUCGUUAGGGACGAACGUGCUCUUUGUGAAUAAUGAGGAGUAAUGACGGUACCUAAAUAAGAAGCCACGGCUAACUACGUGCCAGCAGCCGCGGGAAUACGUAGGUGGCAAGCGUUGUCCGGAAUUAUUGGGCGUAAAGCGCGCGCAGGCGGGAUAUCAAGUCUGUCUUAAAAGUGCGAGGCUCAACCUCGUGAGGGGACAGAAACUGGUAUUCUUGAGUGUCGGAGAGGAAAGUGGAAUUCCAAGUGUAGCGGUGAAAUGCGUAGAGAUUUGGAAGAACACCAGUGGCGAAGGCGACUUUCUGGACGAUGUCUGACGCUGAGGCGCGAAAGCUAGGGGAGCGAACGGGAUUAGAAACCCGUGUAGUCC